UACAGAGGUCCCAAGCGUUGUUCGGAUUCACUGGGCGUAAAGGGUGCGUAGGUGGCCAGGUAAGUUUGGUGUGAAAGCUCGGAGCUUAACUCCGAAAAGUCAUUGAAUACUAUCUGGCUGGAGGGUCGGAGGGGAGACUGGAAUUCUCGGUGUAGCAGUGAAAUGCGUAGAUAUCGAGAGGAACACCAGUGGCGAAGGCGAGUCUCUGGGCCGAUACUGACGCUGAGGAGCGAAAGCGUGGGGAGCAAACAGG
This 253-nucleotide ribosomal RNA is filed under the name uncultured bacterium. Its description in RNAcentral is "partial 16S ribosomal RNA". It matches the Rfam family "Bacterial small subunit ribosomal RNA", at positions 524 to 776 of the family's 1533-position model. The record is from RNAcentral.